GAGUUUGAUCGUGGCUCAGAUUGAACGCUGGCGGCAUGCCUUACACAUGCAAGUCGAACGGCAGCAUGAUCUAGCUUGCUAGAUUGAUGGCGAGUGGCGAACGGGUGAGUAAUACAUCGGAACGUGCCCUGUAGUGGGGGAUAACUAGUCGAAAGAUUAGCUAAUACCGCACACGACCUGAGGGUGAAAGUGGGGGACCGCAAGGCCUCAUGCUAUAGGAGCGGCCGAUGUCUGAUUAGCUAGUUGGUGGGGUAAAGGCCCACCAAGGCGACGAUCAGUAGCUGGUCUGAGAGGACGAUCAGCCACACUGGGACUGAGACACGGCCCAGACUCCUACGGGAGGCAGCAGUGGGGAAUUUUGGACAAUGGGCGAAAGCCUGAUCCAGCAAUGCCGCGUGUGUGAAGAAGGCCUCGGUGUAG
This 420-nucleotide ribosomal RNA is filed under the name uncultured microorganism. Its description in RNAcentral is "bacterial SSU rRNA". It matches the Rfam family "Bacterial small subunit ribosomal RNA", at positions 9 to 425 of the family's 1533-position model. The record is from RNAcentral.